This 623-nucleotide ribosomal RNA is filed under the name uncultured bacterium. Its description in RNAcentral is "bacterial SSU rRNA". It matches the Rfam family "Bacterial small subunit ribosomal RNA", at positions 246 to 889 of the family's 1533-position model. The record is from RNAcentral.
CACCCGUCCGCCAUGGCCCACCAAGGCUACGAUCAGUUGCUGGUCUGAGAGGAUGACCAGCCACAUUGGGACUGAGACAGGGUCCAAACUUAUACGGGAGGCAGCAGUGGGGAAUCUUGCGCAAUGGGCGAAAGCCUGACGCAGCCAUGCCGCGUGUAUGAUGAAGGUCUUAGGAUUGUAAAAUACUUUCACCGGUGAAGAUAAUGACUGUAGCCGGAGAAGAAGCCCCGGCUAACUUCGUGCCAGCAGCCGCGGUAAUACGAAGGGGGCUAGCGUUGCUCGGAAUUACUGGGCGUAAAGGGAGCGUAGGCGGACAUUUAAGUCAGAGGUGAAAUCCCGGAGCUUAACUUCGGAACUGCCUUUGAUACUGGGUGUCUUGAGUGUGAGAGAGGUAUGUGGAACUCCGAGUGUAGAGGUGAAAUUCGUAGAUAUUCGGAAGAACACCAGUGGCGAAGGCGACAUACUGGCUCAUUACUGACGCUGAGGCUCGAAAGCGUGGGGAGCAAACAGGAUUAGAUACCCUGGUAGUCCACGCCGUAAACGAUGAUUGCUAGUUGUCGGGAAGCUUGCUUCUCGGUGACGCAGCUAACGCAUUAAGCAAUCCGCCUGGGGAGUACGGUCGC